GUGUUGCUUAAAGUUGGCAGGAAGGAAGAAGCCACAGGUUUGUUGGAUGGAAUCUGGGCCAAAGGAUUUGUGCCCGAUGCUGUUACGUAUAGAUUAAUGAUACAAAGCUUUUAGAAGAAGGAUCUCUGCAAGAAUGGUUUGCUGCCGACUCCCGUAUGUUAAAUGCCGUCAUUAGAAUGUUACUUCAGAAAGAGGAGGUGCCCAGUGGGGAAAUUGAUGAGAGGAGCUUCACCCUUGAGGCUUCUGCAGCUGGCUUGUUGACUGCACUUACUUCAGGGGGAAAUGUCAGCUGUAUCAUAGAUUUCUCCCUAAAAAAUAUCACUCUUUUCUGGAAUAGGGAACUGGUUGAAACCUUUUCUAGUGAUUUUACCUAAUCGAGGGCCAAACAUUUCUUUGCAGGGUUCCUUUCCCAACCUUUUCCUUUUGUAAUGUAAUGAACGUCAUGUUGGUCAUUUCUCUUAGUAGUAAGUCCGGGAGAAACUUUGACUAUCUGUGUUUCAUCUAUAUGGCUGACUACUACUUCUUCCAUGGAGCUGUACAUUUCGCCUCAAUUAAGUACUGUUUUUAUUAGUUUUUCAGUCUUGGAUUUGACCUGAUAAAUUAUCCUCGACGUUUUUUCCCUUGUGUGCUGUGUCGUUGGACAUAUACUAGAUACUCACCACAUCAUAAUGUGAGACAACCUUGGGAGCAAAGCUUUGGCAACCCUUGUCACUAUCCAGCAACCAUGCUGUUUACAUGCUAUGAUGAACAUGUUGUGCCUCUUCACUCAUUGAAGUUGUUAGCACCAAGGAUGCGCUUCAUGAAGGUGCAAAUAAGCUUCUGAAUCAAAUUAUGACGGUGAUGAAUGUUCAGACAACAGGUGCAAGAGAUGCUGAUGUAUUAGGCAGACAUGCAGUCAGGUACAGAUAAGCAUGCUCUGUGUGAAAGGGGCUCACAAACUUCUGAAUGAAGGAGCGACGGUGAUGAGUUCUGAGACUGUGCAGACUACAGGUGCAAGAGAUGCUAGCGUUCUGGGGAUAUGCGAGGCGUUGCAAAGCGAGCAGUUCAGAUCCUCCUCGUCUUCGGCCCUUAUCAUGAACAGAAGUAAGAAGCCAGCUUACUUGCUGUUCGCAACGAAGAAAAAACACCUAUAUAUGUGAUACAAGCAAAUUUGAAAAGCCAAGCUGUCAAACUACAUAUAUGCAAUGCAAUGGAGCCGGGGCUUUGCCCUUUUCCUCUAAAAAAAAACUACGCUUGCCACACAACUUGGGCAUUUUCCAUUGAUAUUUGCUCUUGAACAAGUUGUGUAAUUAUUGACUAGCAUGUGUACAUAAACUUGUUUUAUGUGUGCUUGAGAAGGACCUGUGCAAGAUGUUAAGGUUAUUGUGAAGAUGAAAAACCUUGUACCAGAGGCCGAGAGCUUUAUAGUUUUGGGAUUCAAUGGGUGGCUUCCAUGAAACAUCAUCUUUUUUUGAGGUAUGCAGUGUUUCACA
Long non-coding RNA from Triticum dicoccoides, 1472 nucleotides. RefSeq lists it as uncharacterized. NCBI's taxonomy places the organism in Eukaryota, Viridiplantae, Streptophyta, Magnoliopsida, Poales, Poaceae. The transcript is spliced from 3 exons. The record is from RefSeq and is a predicted model, not a curated record.